Long non-coding RNA from Gadus macrocephalus (Pacific cod), 677 nucleotides. RefSeq lists it as uncharacterized. The record is from RefSeq and is a predicted model, not a curated record. Lineage: Eukaryota; Metazoa; Chordata; Actinopteri; Gadiformes; Gadidae. The transcript has 3 exons.
GUACUACCAGAGCUAUAGAGAGAGAGAGUUGCGACACUUCCAUUGGACUCCGUUGUAGCGCCUACUUCCGGGGUAUGGAGCCUCGAAUAGUUCCAAACAACCAUUUUACGGCGUAGGAGACCGUUCAUUUCCAUUGCUGGCCGCCGAGUAACUUCUGAGGGUGAUGUUCAGCACAUGAAGCCCUACAGAUGCCGCCGAUUCAACAAUGCUGAUUAUGAUGGGCGGUCAAUUUAACCUUUGCCUUAUUAGGUCCUCCACAGUCACCCCAUCAGUCCCUGGCAGUCUGGUCCCUGGAGCAGCUGGCCCUGGCAAAAGUUAUUCCUUCACUGUUGACCCCUGACUGACUGGCCCUCGGCACACAAAUCCCUGGAUCACCCGCCACUGGAUCACCUGCCCCUGGAUCACCUGCCCCUGAAUCACCUGCCCCUGGCAAUGUGGCCUCUUGAUUGCUCUCUCUGUCUCCUGUGAUGUCCUUUUCAACGCUCUUGAAAUCCACCUAAAUUUCUCCCUCAAUCUCUGUAACAAUUACAAGGUAAUGUUGCUGUUAUAUGUAUUUUGCCUUUGCAUUUGCAACUACUGUCAUCUCCAAUGUAAGAAAAUGAAUUAAAGCAAAACAUUUCUGUAAUGUGAAUUAAAUCAUCUGCCACAAUCAGAAACCAAUACAAUUUAUAAAUGGA